RNAcentral lists this ribosomal RNA (253 nucleotides) under uncultured bacterium. RNAcentral's name for it is "partial 16S ribosomal RNA". It matches the Rfam family "Bacterial small subunit ribosomal RNA", at positions 524 to 776 of the family's 1533-position model. The record is from RNAcentral.
UACGGAGGGAGCUAGCGUUGUUCGGAAUUACUGGGCGUAAAGCGUGCGUAGGCGGUGACUCAAGUCAGAGGUGAAAGCCUGGAGCUCAACUCCAGAACUGCCUCUGAAACUAGGUCGCUAGAAUCUGGGAGAGGUGAGUGGAAUUCCGAGUGUAGAGGUGAAAUUCGUAGAUAUUGGGAAGAACACCGGUGGCGAAGGCGGCGCUCUGGACCGAGACUGACGCUGAGGCGCGAAAGCGUGGGGAGCAAACAGG